This 373-nucleotide unclassified non-coding RNA is filed under the name uncultured Sphingobacteriales bacterium. RNAcentral's name for it is "contains 16S-23S intergenic spacer region". Lineage: Bacteria; Pseudomonadati; Bacteroidota; Sphingobacteriia; Sphingobacteriales. The record is from RNAcentral.
UCGCGCCUUGCGGCGGCAGUUUCACUAGAGUUCCCAGCAUUACCUGAUGGCAACUAGUGAUAGGGGUUGCGCUCGUUACAGGACUUAACCUAACACCUCACGGCACGAGCUGACGACAGCCAUGCAGCACCUAGUUUUGUGCCAUUGCUGGCUGACAUGUUUCCACAUCAUUCACUAACUUUCAAGCCCUGGUAAGGUUCCUCGCGUAUCAUCGAAUUAAACCACAUGCUCCUCCGCUUGUGCGGGCCCCCGUCAAUUCCUUUGAGUUUCAACCUUGCGGUCGUACUCCCCAGGUGGAUAACUUAAUGCUUUCGCUUAGUCGCUGACUGUGUAUCGCCAACAACGAGUUAUCAUCGUUUAGGGCGUGGACUAC